RNAcentral lists this ribosomal RNA (305 nucleotides) under uncultured bacterium. Its description in RNAcentral is "bacterial SSU rRNA". It matches the Rfam family "Bacterial small subunit ribosomal RNA", at positions 333 to 655 of the family's 1533-position model. The record is from RNAcentral.
ACAAGCCUACGGGGGGCAGCAGUGGGGGAUAUUGCACAAUGGGGGGAACCCUGAUGCAGCGACGCCGCGUGGGUGAAGAAGCGCCUCGGCGCGUAAAGCCCUGUCAGCAGGGAAGAAAAUGACGGUACCUGACCAAGAAGCCCCGGCUAACUACGUGCCAGCAGCCGCGGUAAUACGUAGGGGGCAAGCGUUAUCCGGAUUUACUGGGUGUAAAGGGAGCGUAGACGGCAGCGCAAGUCUGGAGUGAAAUGCCGGGGCCCAACCCCGGAACUGCUUUGGAAACUGUGCAGCUGGAGUGCAGGAGG